GUCCACGCCGUAAACGAUGGAUACUAGCUGUUGGGCAACUUCAGUGGCUAAGCGAAGUGAUAAGUAUCCCACCUGGGAGUACGUUCGCAAGAAUGAAACUCAAAGUAAUUGACGGGGCCCGCACAAGCGGUGGAGCAUGUGGUUUAAUUCGAUGAUACGCGAGGAACCUUACCAAGGCUUAAAUGUAGAUUGACCGAUUUGGAAACAGAUCUUUCGCAAGACAAUUUACAAGGUGCUGCAUGGUUGUCGU
Molecule: ribosomal RNA, 250 nt
Filed under: uncultured bacterium
Lineage: Bacteria
Description: partial 16S ribosomal RNA
Rfam family: Bacterial small subunit ribosomal RNA
Source: RNAcentral